UCUCGAUUGGUCUAGUGGUUAGGAUACCUGCUUGUCAUAGGCAAUGCGCAGGUGGCCGGGGUUCGAUUCCCCGAUCGAGAG
RNAcentral lists this transfer RNA (81 nucleotides) under Xylaria bambusicola. Its description in RNAcentral is "tRNA-Asp". It matches the Rfam family "tRNA". From Rfam's summary of the family: Transfer RNA (tRNA) molecules are approximately 80 nucleotides in length. Lineage: Eukaryota; Fungi; Ascomycota; Sordariomycetes; Xylariales; Xylariaceae. The record is from RNAcentral.